CCUACGGGAGGCAGCAGUGAGGAAUAUUGGUCAAUGGUCGGGAGACUGAACCAGCCAAGCCGCGUGAGGGAGGAAGGUACAGAGUAUCGUAAACCUCUUUUGUCAGGGAACAAAGACUGGGACGCGUCCCCGGAUGAGUGUACCUGAAGAACAAGCAUCGGCUAACUCCGUGCCAGCAGCCGCGGUAAUACGGAGGAUGCGAGCGUUAUCCGGAUUUAUGGGGUUUAAAGGGUGCGCAGGCGGGCCUUGAAGUCAGCGGUGAAAGCCCGGGGCUCAACCCCGGCCCGCCGUUGAAACUGGCAGUCUCGAGUUGGAGAGAAGUAUGCGGAAUGCGCGGUGUAGCGGUGAAAUGCAUAGAUAUCGCGCAGAACUCCGAUUGCGAAGGCAGCAUGCCGGCUCCACACUGACGCUGAGGCACGAAAGCGCGGGUAUCGAACAGGAUUAGAUACCCUUGUAGUC
This 459-nucleotide ribosomal RNA is filed under the name uncultured bacterium. Its description in RNAcentral is "partial 16S ribosomal RNA". It matches the Rfam family "Bacterial small subunit ribosomal RNA", at positions 338 to 795 of the family's 1533-position model. The record is from RNAcentral.